GCAAACUAGUAGUUUAAAUUCAAUUAACCAACACAAAUAAGAAAAUCUCUAGUUUAGAUUGAGGUCACAGUUUUUAAGCGUGGAAUGCUUAUAAUAUAUAAAUACAUAUGCUCCAACUCAAAUGUACUUAAAUUUCCAUGCAUCUGUCUAGAAAGAAAAACCAUUUGAUCACAGUAGAAGUAUCAGAGGUUGAACAGACCCCAUAAUAUGCCAAGCCAUUUUCACAUUCAAGAUAUUUCUGCAGUGAAUCACAAAAGACUAGCAGUGUUUUCACAAUUAAUCUGAUUUGUUUCAGCACAGUUUAUUGAUCACCCAUUUGAAAUCAGAAGGAAAUGCAUAAAACUAAAACAACAAUGCAAGAGUGCAUGGCAAAAUACUCAUAGCUUUCACUUUAUGGGCUAAUUACCCAAUCACCAAAUACUUGGCUGAAG
This 431-nucleotide unclassified non-coding RNA is filed under the name Hevea brasiliensis (rubber tree). Lineage: Eukaryota; Viridiplantae; Streptophyta; Magnoliopsida; Malpighiales; Euphorbiaceae. The record is from RNAcentral.